AGUGAACGCUGGCAGUAGGCCUAACACAUGCAAGUCGAACGGCAGCACAGUAAGAGCUUGCUCUUACGGGUGGCGAGUGGCGGACGGGUGAUGAAUACAUCGGAAUCUACUUUUUCGUGGGGGAUAACGUAGGGAAACUUACGCUAAUCCCGCAUACGACCUACGGGUGAAAGCAGGGGAUCUUCGGACCUUGCGCGAUUGAAUGAGCCGAUGUCGGAUUAGCUAGUUGGCGGGGUAAAGGCCCACCAAGGCGACGAUCCGUAGCUGGUCUGAGAGGAUGAUCAGCCACACUGGAACGGAGACACGGUCCAGACUCCUACGGGAGGCAGCAGUGGGGAAUAGUGGACAAUGGGCGCAAGCCUGAUCCAGCCAUACCGCGUGGGUGAAGAAGGCCUUCGGGUUGUAAAGCCCUUUUGUUGGGAAAGAAAAGCAGCAGGUUAAUACCCCGCUGUUCUGACGGUACCCAAAGAAUAAGCACCGGCUAACUUCGUG
Molecule: ribosomal RNA, 492 nt
Filed under: uncultured bacterium
Lineage: Bacteria
Description: partial 16S ribosomal RNA
Rfam family: Bacterial small subunit ribosomal RNA
Source: RNAcentral